GGAUAACUUCGGGAAACCGAGGCUAAUACCGCAUAAUACCUUCGGGUCAAAGGAGUAAUUCGCUUAAGGAGGGGGUCGCGGCUGAUUAGCUAGUUGGUAGGGUAAUGGCCUACCAAGGCAAUGAUCAGUAUCCGGCCUGAGAGGGCGCACGGACACACUGGAACUGAAACACGGUCCAGACUCCUACGGGAGGCAGCAGUGGGGAAUUUUGCACAAUGGGGGAAACCCUGAUGCAGCAACGCCGCGUGGAGGAUGAAGUCCCUUGGGAUGUAAACUCCUUUCGACCGGGACGAUAAUGACGGUACCGGUGGAAGAAGCCCCGGCUAACUCUGUGCCAGCAGCCGCGGUAAUACAGAGGGGGCAAGCGUUGUUCGGAAUUAUUGGGCGUAAAGGGUGCGUAGGCGGUGCGGUAAGUCUUCUGUGAAAUCUCCGGGCUCAACUCGGAGUCUGCAGGAGAAACUGCCGUGCUUGAGUAUGGGAGAGGUGAGUGGAAUUCCUGGUGUAGCGGUGAAAUGCGUAGAUAUCAGGAGGAACACCUGUGGCGAAAGCGGCUCACUGGACCAUAACUGACGCUGAGGCACGAAAGCUAGGGGAGCAAACAGGAUUAGAUACCCUGGUAGUCCUAGCCCUAAACGAUGAUUGCUUGGUGUAGCAGGUACCCAAUCCUGCUGUGCCGCAGCUAACGCGUUAAGCAAUCCGCCUGGGGAGUACGGUCGCA
Molecule: ribosomal RNA, 718 nt
Filed under: uncultured bacterium
Lineage: Bacteria
Description: bacterial SSU rRNA
Rfam family: Bacterial small subunit ribosomal RNA
Source: RNAcentral